RNAcentral lists this ribosomal RNA (451 nucleotides) under uncultured bacterium. RNAcentral describes it as "partial 16S ribosomal RNA". It matches the Rfam family "Bacterial small subunit ribosomal RNA", at positions 29 to 523 of the family's 1533-position model. The record is from RNAcentral.
AACGCACGCUGGCGGCAGGCUUAACACAUGCAAGUCGAACUGCUGUAGCAAUACAGCAGUGGCAGACGGGUGAGUAACACGUGGGAACCUUCCUAGGGGUACGGAACAACUCAGGGAAACUUGAGCUAAUACCGUAUACGUCCGUGAGGAGAAAGAUUUAUCGCCCUUAGACGGGCCCGCGUCGGAUUAGGUAGUUGGUGGGGUAACGGCCUACCAAGCCUACGAUCCGUAGCUGAUCUGAGAGGAUGAUCAGCCACACUGGGACUGAGACACGGCCCAGACUCCUACGGGAGGCAGCAGUGGGGAAUCUUGGACAAUGGGCGCGAGCCUGAUCCAGCCAUGCCGCGUGAGUGAAGAAGGCCUUAGGGUUGUAAAGCUCUUUUGCCAGGGACGAUAAUGACGGUACCUGGAGAAUAAGCCCCGGCAAACUUCGUGCCAGCCGCCGCGGUAA